This 253-nucleotide ribosomal RNA is filed under the name uncultured bacterium. RNAcentral describes it as "partial 16S ribosomal RNA". It matches the Rfam family "Bacterial small subunit ribosomal RNA", at positions 524 to 776 of the family's 1533-position model. The record is from RNAcentral.
UACGGGGGGGGCAAGCGUUGUUCGGAAUUACUGGGCGUAAAGGGCUCGUAGGUGGCCAACUAAGUCGGACGUGAAAUCCCUCAGCUUAACUGGGGAACUGCGUCCGAUACUGGAUGGCUUGAGUUUGGGAGAGGGAUGCGGAAUUCCAGGUGUAGCGGUGAAAUGCGUAGAUAUCUGGAGGAACACCGGUGGCGAAGGCGGCAUCCUGGACCAACACUGACACUGAGGAGCGAAAGUUAGGGGAGCAAACAGG